UUAUAGUUCAAAUGGUAGAACAUGAGACUCUUAAUCCCAGGGACGUGGGUUCGAGCCUCAGAUUGGGAGAA
Podarcis lilfordi (Lilford's wall lizard) is the source of this 71-nucleotide non-coding RNA. The record is from the annotation of a GenBank genome assembly. NCBI's taxonomy places the organism in Eukaryota, Metazoa, Chordata, Lepidosauria, Squamata, Lacertidae.